RNAcentral lists this ribosomal RNA (885 nucleotides) under Triticum aestivum (bread wheat). Its description in RNAcentral is "partial small subunit ribosomal RNA". The record is from RNAcentral. Lineage: Eukaryota; Viridiplantae; Streptophyta; Magnoliopsida; Poales; Poaceae.
AUGGCGUUAGUGCGGGAGCCGAUGCUGAUGUACGACGGCGGUUUCGACGCCGAGGCAUCCGCGUUCGACGGGCUCGGCUACGGCGGCCACGACGCGCUGCUCGGAGGUGUCGACGCGGCGGCGCUCUGGGGCUACGCCUACGCCCAGGACGAGCCUGCCGGCGCCGCCAGCGCCUACGUGCGGGACAGUGCGAGCUGGGCGAGCGCGGGGCCUUCAGUGCUCUCGUUCCGCCACGGCGCGCGGGGCCACGCGGCCCAGCAGGAGGUCGUGGAGGAGGAGCCCGACUGCGACGCGUGGGUGGACGACAUGGACGUAGAUCAGGGCCAUCAGCACGCGGCGCCGGCGUUGACCAUAGGGUUCGACCCGGCCACGGGCUGCUUCAGCCUGACGCAGAGCUCCGUCGGCGCGCGGCGGCCGUUCGGGCUCCUGUUCCCGAGCACGUCCAACGGCUCGCCCGAUGCCGCGGCGCCGGCGCGCGGUUCCUCGAAGCGAUCGUACGCGGCGCGCGUGCAGGACCAGGACGCGGAGCCGCGGGCCACCAAGAAGCCGUGCGAUGCGAGCAGGAAGACGAGCAAGGCGAAGCCGGCGGCGCCCACCACCACCUCGCCCAAGGGGGACCCGCAAAGCCUCACCGCAAAGAACCGGCGGGAGAAGAUCAGCGAGCGGCUCCGGACACUGCAGGAGCUGGUGCCCAACGGCACCAAGGUCGACAUGGUCACCAUGCUCGAGAAGGCAUUCAGCUACGUCAAGUUCCUGCAGCUGCAAGUCAAGGUGCUGGCGAUGGACGAGUUCUGGCCGGCGCAAGGGGGAACGGCGCCGGAGAUCUCCCAGGUGAAGGAGGCGCUGGACGCCAUCUUAUCGUCUCAGAGGGGGCAACUGAACUGA